CCUACGGGUGGCAGCAGUGGGGGAUAUUGCACAAUGGGGGGAACCCUGAUGCAGCGACGCCGCGUGGGUGAAGGAGGGUUUCGGCGCGUAAAGCCCUAUCGGCAGGGAAGAAGAUGACGGUACCUGACCACGAAGCCACGGCUAACUACGUGCCAGCAGCCGCGGUAAUACGUAGGGGGCAAGCGUUAUCCGGAUUUAUUGGGUUUAAAGGGUGCGUAGGCGGACAGUCAAGUCAGCGGUAAAAAUGCGGUGCUCAACGCCGUACAGCCGUUGAAACUGGCAGUCUUGAGUGGGCGAGAAGUAUGCGGAAUGCGUGGUGUAGCGGUGAAAUGCAUAGAGAUCACGCAGAACUCCGAUUGCGAAGGCAGCAUACCGGCGCCCGACUGACGCUGAGGCACGAAAGCGUGGGGAUCGAACAGGAUUAGAUACCCCUGUAGUC
RNAcentral lists this ribosomal RNA (439 nucleotides) under uncultured bacterium. Its description in RNAcentral is "partial 16S ribosomal RNA". It matches the Rfam family "Bacterial small subunit ribosomal RNA", at positions 338 to 795 of the family's 1533-position model. The record is from RNAcentral.